GACGAACGCUGGCGGCGUGCCUAACACAUGCAAGUCGAACGGACGAAGCCCUUCGGGGCCUAGUUAGUGGCGAACGGGUGAGUAACGCGUGAGGAACCUGCCUUUCAGAGGGGGACAACAGUUGGAAACGACUGCUAAUACCGCAUAACACAACGGGACCGCAUGAUCCUGUUGUCAAAGAUUUAUCGCUGAAAGAUGGCCUCGCGUCUGAUUAGCUAGUUGGUGAGGUAACGGCCCACCAAGGCGACGAUCAGUAGCCAGACUGAGAGGUUGACCGGCCACAUUGGGACUGAGAUACGGCCCAGACUCCUACGGGAGGCAGCAGUGGGGAAUAUUGGGCAAUGGACGCAAGUCUGACCCAGCAACGCCGCGUGAAGGAAGAAGGCUUUCGGGUUGUAAACUUCUUUUACCAGGGACGAAGAACGUGACGGUACCUGGAGAAAAAGCAACGGCUAACUACGUG
Molecule: ribosomal RNA, 463 nt
Filed under: uncultured bacterium
Lineage: Bacteria
Description: bacterial SSU rRNA
Rfam family: Bacterial small subunit ribosomal RNA
Source: RNAcentral